Molecule: ribosomal RNA, 406 nt
Filed under: uncultured bacterium
Lineage: Bacteria
Description: partial 16S ribosomal RNA
Rfam family: Bacterial small subunit ribosomal RNA
Source: RNAcentral
AUUGAACGCUGGCGGCAGGCCUAACACAUGCAAGUCGAACGAGUGGCGGACGGGUGAGUAAUGUCUGGGAAACUGCCUGCUGGAGGGGGAUAACUACUGGAACCGGUAGCUAAUACCGCAUACCAUCGGAUGUGCCCAUAGGGGAUUAGCUAGGAGGUGGGGUAACGGCUCACCUAGGCGAAGAUCCCUACCUGGUCUGAGAGGAUGAACAGCCACACUGGAACUGAGACACGGUCCAGACUCCUACGGGAGGCAGCAGUGGGGAAUAUUGCACAAUGGGCGCAAGCCUGAUGCAGCCAUGCCGCGUGUAUGAAGCGGGCCUUCGGGUUGUAAAGUACUUUCAGCGGGGAGGCGUUACCCGCAGAAGAAGCACCGGCUAACUCCGUGCCAGCAGCCGCGGUAAUAC